This 1435-nucleotide ribosomal RNA is filed under the name metagenome. RNAcentral's name for it is "bacterial SSU rRNA". It matches the Rfam family "Archaeal small subunit ribosomal RNA". The record is from RNAcentral.
UCCAGUUGAUCCUGCUGGAGGCCGCUGCUAUUGGGAUCCGAUUAAGCCAUGCAAGUCCUGGGGACCUUCGGGUCACCGGCAAACUGCUCAGUAACACGUCGAUAAUCUGCCCUUGAGUCGGGGACAGCCUUGGGAAACUGAGGGUAAACCCUGAUAGGGGAUAAUUCUGGAACGAAUUUUCCUUUAAAAGAAAUGCUCAAGGAUGAGUUGGCGGCGGAUUAGCUAGUUGGUGGGGUAAUGGCCCACCAAGGCGAUGAUCCGUAGGGGCCUUGGAAGAGGUAGCCCCGAGAAGGACACUGAGAUACUGGUCCUAGCCCUACGGGGUGCAGCAGGCGCGAAACCUUUACACUACACGAAAGUGUGAUAAGGGGAUCCCAAGUGCCUAUACUCUGUAUAGGUUUUUUUUCAAGAGUAAAGAUCUUGGAGAAUAAGUGGUGGGAAAGACUGGUGCCAGCAGCCGCGGUAAUACCAGCGCCACGAGUGGGGGCCGUGUUUAUUGGGCCUAAAGCGUUCGUAGCAGGCUCUGUUAAUCUCUUGUGAAAUCGUCGGGCUUAACUCGACGGCGUGCAGGAGACACUGCAGAACUAGAGACCGGGAGGAGUCAGAGGUAUUCCGGGGGGAGCGGUAAAAUGCUAUAAUCCCCGGAGGACCACCUGUGGCGAAGGCGUCUGACUAGAACGGGUCUGACUGUGAGGAACGAAAGCCAGGGGAGCAAACCGGAUUAGAUACCCGAGUAGUCCUGGCCGUAAACGCUGCGAGCAAGGUGUCGCAUAUUCUACAUGAAUAUGCGGUGUCGAAAUGAAGAUGUUAAGCUCGCCGCCUGGGAAGUACGGUCGCAAGACUGAAACUUAAAGGAAUUGGCGGGGGCUCACUACAAGGGGUGCGGCGUGCGGUUUAAUUGAACUCAACACCGGGAAUCUCACCAGGAGCGACGGCAGAAUGAGGGUCAGUCUAAUGGGCUUACCUGACGAGCCGAGAGGUGGUGCAUGGCCGUCGUCAGCUCGUGCUGUAAAGUGUCCUGUUAAGUCAGGCAACGAGCGAGACCUGCAUCCACAAUUGCCAACAGCUCUAUCAGAGGACUGGGCACAUUGUGGAGACUGCCUUGGAAACGAGGAGGAAGGUGCAGGCUACGGUAGGUCUGUAUGCCCCGAAUCCCCUGGGCUACACGCGCGCAACAAUGGUAGGGACAAUGGGAUGCAACUCUGAAAAGAGGAGCUAAUCCUCCAAACCCUAUCCUAGUCCAGAUUGAGGGCUGCAACUCGCCCUCAUGACGUCGGAAUCCCUAGUAAUCGGAUGUCACCAGCAUCCGGUGAAUACGUCCCUGAGCUUUGCACACACCGCCCGUCAAACCACCCGAGCAGUGUUUGGGUGAGGCGUAGCCUCUUAGUUACGUCGAACCUAAGCUCAGUGAGGAGGGUUAAGUCGUCACAAGGUA